This 429-nucleotide ribosomal RNA is filed under the name uncultured bacterium. Its description in RNAcentral is "partial 16S ribosomal RNA". It matches the Rfam family "Bacterial small subunit ribosomal RNA", at positions 28 to 526 of the family's 1533-position model. The record is from RNAcentral.
GACGAACGCUGGCGGCGUGCCUAACACAUGCAAGUCGAACGGAGUGGAAAAAGGGUGAGUAACACGGGGGUGACCUGCUCUGUACUUUAGGAAGAGCCUGGGAAAAUGGGUCUAAUACCGGAGAGUGAAGGAUGGGCUCGCGGCUUAUUAGCUUGUGGGUGGGGUAAUGGCCAACCAAGUGGGCGACGGGUAGCCGGCCUGAGAGGGUAGACGGCCACAGUGGGACUGAGACACGGCCCAGACUCCUACGGUAGGCAGCAGUGGGGAAUAUUGGACAAUGGGCGGAAGCCUGAUGCAGCGACGCCGCGUGGGUGAUGACGGCCUUCGGGUUGUAAAGUACGUUCAGCUGGGAGGAGGUUAAUACCCUUCCAUUGACGUUACCCGAAGAGGAAGCACCGGCUAACUCCGUGCCAGCAGCCGCGGUAAUUC